RNAcentral lists this ribosomal RNA (229 nucleotides) under uncultured bacterium. RNAcentral describes it as "partial 16S ribosomal RNA". It matches the Rfam family "Bacterial small subunit ribosomal RNA", at positions 91 to 334 of the family's 1533-position model. The record is from RNAcentral.
UAAAGUGGCGACCGGGUGAGUAACACGUGACUAACCUACCUUCGAGUGGGGGAUAACAUCGGGAAACCGAUGCUAAUACCGCAUAACAUCGCAAGAUCAAAGCAGCAAUGCGCUUGAAGAGGGGGUCGCGGCUGAUUAGCUAGUUGGUAGGGUAAUGGCCUACCAAGGCUUAGAUCGGUAGCCGGCCUGAGAGGGCGCACGGCCACACUGGAACUGAAACACGGUCCAG